GGCCUGCUCAUUUCUUAAAUCCUCUUCCAGCUGUGAAGAACACAGAAGAAGGAGGUGUGUAGGAAGCAAUUCAGCUGAACUUCUCCAAUGUGUUGUCACCAGUUUUGUAAAGGAAUUUCACUUUCACCUCAUGGAACCCCCAGCAUGAAACACCCCAG
Long non-coding RNA from Cygnus olor (mute swan), 158 nucleotides. RefSeq lists it as uncharacterized. Lineage: Eukaryota; Metazoa; Chordata; Aves; Anseriformes; Anatidae. The record is from RefSeq and is a predicted model, not a curated record. The transcript has 3 exons.